UCCCAGACUCCUACGGGAGGCAGCAGUGGGGAAUAUUGCACAAUGGGCGAAAGCCUGAUGCAGCAACGCCGCGUGAAGGAAGAAGGGUUUCGGCUCGUAAACUUCUAUCAACAGGGACGAAAGAAAUGACGGUACCUGAAUAAGAAGCCCCGGCUAACUACGUGCCAGCAGCCGCGGUAAUACGUAGGGGGCAAGCGUUAUCCGGAAUUACUGGGUGUAAAGGGUGAGUAGGCGGCAUGGUAAGCCAGAUGUGAAAGCCUUGGGCUUAACCCGAGGAUUGCAUUUGGAACUAUCAAGCUGGAGUACAGGAGAGGAAAGCGGAAUUCCUAGUGUAGCGGUGAAAUGCGUAGAUAUUAGGAGGAACACCAGUGGCGAAGGCGGCUUACUGGACAGUAACUGACGUUGAGGCUCGAAAGCGUGGGGAGCAAACAGGAUUAGAUACCCCAGUA
Molecule: ribosomal RNA, 449 nt
Filed under: uncultured bacterium
Lineage: Bacteria
Description: bacterial SSU rRNA
Rfam family: Bacterial small subunit ribosomal RNA
Source: RNAcentral